This 253-nucleotide ribosomal RNA is filed under the name uncultured bacterium. RNAcentral's name for it is "partial 16S ribosomal RNA". It matches the Rfam family "Bacterial small subunit ribosomal RNA", at positions 524 to 776 of the family's 1533-position model. The record is from RNAcentral.
UACGAAGGGGGCUAGCGUUGUUCGGAAUUACUGGGCGUAAAGGGCGCGUAGGCGGCGUGUCAAGUCAGGCGUGAAAGCCCCGGGCUCAACCUGGGAACCGCGCUUGAGACUGGCAUGCUCGAGUUCGGGAGAGGAUGGUGGAAUUCCCAGUGUAGAGGUGAAAUUCGUAGAUAUUGGGAAGAACACCGAUGGCGAAGGCAGCCAUCUGGACCGACACUGACGCUGAGGCGCGAAAGCGUGGGGAGUAAACAGG